AUUGAACGCUGGCGGCAUGCUUUACACAUGCAAGUCGAACGGUAACAGGCCUUCGGGUGCUGACGAGUGGCGAACGGGUGAGUAAUGCAUCGGAACGUGCCCAAUCGUGGGGGAUAACGUAGCGAAAGUUACGCUAAUACCGCAUAAGCCCUGAGGGGGAAAGCAGGGGAUCGCAAGACCUUGCGCGAAUGGAGCGGCCGAUGUCAGAUUAGCUAGUUGGUGGGGGUAAAGGCCUACCAAGGCGACGAUCUGUAGCGGGUCUGAGAGGAUGAUCCGCCACACUGGGACUGAGACACGGCCCAGACUCCUACGGGAGGCAGCAGUGGGGAAUUUUGGACAAUGGGCGCAAGCCUGAUCCAGCCAUGCCGCGUGCGGGACGAAGGCCUUCGGGUUGUAAACCGCUUUCAGCCGGAAAGAAAUACGCCAAGGCUAAUAUCCUUGGUGGAUGACGGUACCGGAAGAAGAAGCACCGGCUAACUACGUGCCAGCAGCCGCGGUAAAG
Molecule: ribosomal RNA, 502 nt
Filed under: uncultured bacterium
Lineage: Bacteria
Description: bacterial SSU rRNA
Rfam family: Bacterial small subunit ribosomal RNA
Source: RNAcentral